Molecule: ribosomal RNA, 828 nt
Filed under: uncultured archaeon
Lineage: Archaea
Description: bacterial SSU rRNA
Rfam family: Archaeal small subunit ribosomal RNA
Source: RNAcentral
UCUGGUUGAUCCUGGCGGAGGCCAUUGCUAUUGGGAUCCGAUUUAGCCAUGCUAGUCGCACGAGUUCAGACUCGUGGCGAAUAGCUCAGCAACACGUGGCCAAACUACCCUUCGGAACACAAUACCCUCGGGAAACUGAGGCUAAUAGUGUAUACCAUACCACCACUGGAAUGAGUGGUAUGCCAAACGCUCCGGCGCCGAAGGAUGUGGCUGCGGCCGAUUAGGUAGACGGUGGGGUAACGGCCCACCGUGCCAAUAAUCGGUAUGGGUCAUGAGAGUGAGAACCCAGAGACGGAAUCUGAGACAAGAUUCCGGGCCCUACGGGGCGCAGCAGGCGCGAAACCUUUACACUGCACGACAGUGCGAUAGGGGGAUCCCAAGUGCACAGGCAUAGCGCCUGUGCUUUUCGGUACCCUAAGGCGGUACCAGAAUAAGGGCUGGGCAAGACCGGUGCCAGCCGCCGCGGUAAUACCGGCAGCCCAAGUGAUGGCCGAUCUUAUUGGGCCUAAAGCGUCCGUAGCUGGCCGCGCAAGUCCAUCGGGAAACCCACCUGCUCAACAGGUGGGCGCCCGGUAGAAACUGUGUGGCUUGGGACCGGAAGGCGCGACGGGUACGUCCGGGGUAGGAGUGAAAUCCCGUAAUCCUGGACGGACCGCCGAUGGCGAAAGCACGUCGCGAGAACGGAUCCGACAGUGAGGGACGAAAGCCAGGGUCUCGAACCGGAUUANAUACCCGGGUAGUCCUGGCCGUAAACAAUGUCUGCUAGGUGUGGCUCCCACUACNAGUGGGUGCUGUGCCGUANGGGAACCNCUAAACAAACCGCCUGGG